GACGAACGCUGGCGGCGUGCUUAACACAUGCAAGUCGAACGGAAAGGCCCUGCUUUUGUGGGGUGCUCGAGUGGCGAACGGGUGAGUAACACGUGAGUAACCUGCCCUUGACUUUGGGAUAACUUCAGGAAACUGGGGCUCAUAUCGGAUAGGAGCUCCUGCUGCAUGGUGGGGGUUGGAAAGUUUCGGCGGUUGGGGAUGGACUCGCGGCUUAUCAGCUUGUUGGUGGGGUAGUGGCGUACCAAGGCUUUGACGGGUAGCCGGCCUGAGAGGGUGACCGGCCACAUUGGGACUGCGGUACGGCCCAGUCGCCUACGGGAGGCAGCAGGCGAGAAUAUUGCAGAAUGGGCGGGAGCCUGAUGCAGCGACGCCGCGUGCGUGAUGACGGGCUUCGGGUUGUAAACCGCUUUCGCCUGUGACGAGGCGUGAGUGACGGUAAUGGGUAAAGAAGCACCGGCUAACUACGUG
RNAcentral lists this ribosomal RNA (468 nucleotides) under uncultured bacterium. RNAcentral describes it as "partial 16S ribosomal RNA". It matches the Rfam family "Bacterial small subunit ribosomal RNA", at positions 28 to 507 of the family's 1533-position model. The record is from RNAcentral.